UACGUAGGGGGCAAGCGUUGUCCGGAUUUAUUGGGCGUAAAGAGCGUGUAGGCGGUUAGGUAGGUCCGUUGUGAAAACUCGAGGCUCAACCUCGAGACGCCGAUGGAAACCAUCUAACUAGAGUCCGGAAGAGGAGAGUGGAAUUCCUGGUGUAGCGGUGAAAUGCGCAGAUAUCAGGAAGAACACCGAUGGCGAAGGCAGUUCUCUGGGCCGUAACUGACGCUGAGGAGCGAAAGCGUGGGGAGCGAACAGG
Molecule: ribosomal RNA, 253 nt
Filed under: uncultured bacterium
Lineage: Bacteria
Description: partial 16S ribosomal RNA
Rfam family: Bacterial small subunit ribosomal RNA
Source: RNAcentral